CCUACGGGAGGCAGCAGUGGGGAAUAUUGCACAAUGGGGGAAACCCUGAUGCAGCGACGCCGCGUGAGUGAAGAAGUAAUUCGUUACGUUAAGCUCUAUCAGCAGGGGAGAAAAUGACGGUACCUGAGUCAGAAGCCCCGGCUAACUACGUGCCAGCAGCCGCGGUAAUACGUAGGGGGCAAGCGUUAUCCGGAUUUACGGGGUGUAAAGGGAGCUUAGACGGUUCGUCAAGUCUGGAGUGAAAUGCCGCAGCUUAACUGGGGAACUGCUUUGGAAACUGGCGAACUAGAGUGCGGGAGGGGUAAGCGGAAUUCGUGGUGUAGCGGUGAAAUGCGUAGAUAUCAGGAGGAACACCGGUGGCGAAGGCGGCUUACUGGACCGUAACUGACGUUGAGGCUCGAAAGCGUGGGGAGCAAACAGGAUUAGAUACCCGGGUAGUC
Molecule: ribosomal RNA, 440 nt
Filed under: uncultured bacterium
Lineage: Bacteria
Description: partial 16S ribosomal RNA
Rfam family: Bacterial small subunit ribosomal RNA
Source: RNAcentral